AAUCAACGCUGGCGGCGCGCUUAACACAUGCAAGUCGAACGAGAAAGGGGAGCAAUCCCUGAGUAAAGUGGCGUACGGGUGAGUAACACGUGGGUGAUCUACCUUUUAGUGGGGGAUAACCCUGGGAAACCGGGGCUAAUACCGCAUAAUCCUGUGAAGGGAAAGCAGCACUGCGCUGAAAGAGGAGCCCGCGGCCGAUUAGCUAGUUGGUAGGGUAAUGGCCUACCAAGGCGACGAUCGGUAGCCGGCCUGAGAGGGCACACGGCCACACUGGCACUGAAACACGGGCCAGACUCCUACGGGAGGCAGCAGUGGGGAAUCUUGCACAAUGGAGGAAACUCUGAUGCAGCGACGCCGCGUGAGCGAUGAAGCCUUUCGGGUUGUAAACUCCUGUCGAGGGGGAAAAAGGGCCGCAAGGCCUCGAUUGAUCCCUGGAGGAAGCACGGGCUAAGUUCGUGCCAGCAGCCGCGGUAAGACGAACCGUGCGAACGUUAUUCGGAAUCAUUGGGCUUAAAGCGCGUGUAGGCGGGUUCGUGCGUCUGUCGCUGAAAUCCCCCGGCUCAACCGGGGAACGGGCGCGGAUACGACGAGCCUGGAGGGGCAUAGGGGGACCUGGAACUUCCGGUGGAGCGGUGAAAUGCGUUGAGAUCGGAAGGAACGCCCGUGGCGAAAGCGAGGUCCUGGAUGCCUACUGACGCUGAGACGCGAAAGCCAGGGGAGCGAACGGGAUUAGAUACCCCGGUAGUCCUGGCCGUAAACGAUGGGUACUGGAUAGGGGGCUCGCCGAUGGGCUCCCUGUCGUAGGGAAACCGUGAAGUACCCCGCCUGGGGAGUAUGGUCGCAAGGCUGAAACUCAAAUGAAUUGACGGGG
RNAcentral lists this ribosomal RNA (871 nucleotides) under uncultured Planctomycetota bacterium. RNAcentral describes it as "bacterial SSU rRNA". It matches the Rfam family "Bacterial small subunit ribosomal RNA", at positions 28 to 918 of the family's 1533-position model. Lineage: Bacteria; Pseudomonadati; Planctomycetota. The record is from RNAcentral.